RNAcentral lists this ribosomal RNA (459 nucleotides) under uncultured bacterium. RNAcentral describes it as "partial 16S ribosomal RNA". It matches the Rfam family "Bacterial small subunit ribosomal RNA", at positions 338 to 795 of the family's 1533-position model. The record is from RNAcentral.
CCUACGGGUGGCAGCAGUGAGGAAUAUUGGUCAAUGGGCGCGAGCCUGAACCAGCCAAGUCGCGUGAGGGAAGACGGUCCUAUGGAUUGUAAACCUCUUUUGUCGGGGAGCAAAAGACGCCACGCGUGGCGUUCCGAGAGUACCCGAAGAACAAGCAUCGGCUAACCCCGUGCCAGCAGCCGCGAUAAUACGGAGGAUGCGAGCGUUAUCCGGAUUUAUUGGGUUUAAAGGGUGCGCAGGCGGAAGAUCAAGUCAGCGGUAAAAUUGAGAGGCUCAACCUCUUCGAGCCGUUGAAACUGGUGUUCUUGAGUGAGUGAGAAGUAUGCGGAAUGCGUGGUGUAGCGGUGAAACGCAUAGAUAUCACGCAGAACUCCGAUUGCGAAGGCAGCAUACCGGCGCUCAACUGACGCUCAUGCACGAAAGUGUGGGUAUCGAACAGGAUUAGAUACCCUGGUAGUC